CCUACGGGAGGCAGCAGUGGGGAAUAGUGCACAAUGGGGGAAACCCUGAUGCAGCGACGCCGCGGGAGAGAUGAAGUAGUUCGGUAUGGAAAGCUCUAUCAGCAGGGAAGAAAAUGACGGUACCUGACUAAGAAGCCCCGGCCAACUACGUGCCAGCAGCCGCGGUAAUACGUAGGGGGCAAGCGUUAUCCGGAUUUACUGGGGGUAAAGGGAGCGUAGACGGCGGUGCAAGCCAGAUGUGAAAGCCCUGGGCUCAACCCUGGGACUGCAUUUGGAACUGUGCUGCUAGAGUGUCGGAGAGGCAGGCGGAAUUCCUAGUGUAGCGGUGAACUGCGUAGAUAUUAGGAGGAACACCAGUGGCGAAGGCGGCCUGCUGGACGAUGACUGACGUUGAGGCUCGAAAGCGUGGGGAGCAAACAGGAUUAGAUACCCGAGUAGUC
RNAcentral lists this ribosomal RNA (440 nucleotides) under uncultured bacterium. RNAcentral's name for it is "partial 16S ribosomal RNA". It matches the Rfam family "Bacterial small subunit ribosomal RNA", at positions 338 to 795 of the family's 1533-position model. The record is from RNAcentral.